UUAGGGCUGGACCAUCUUCCAUGUUGUGCAUGUAUCCCGUUUGGUUCGUCCGUUCGUCCAUCCAUGCACACGCGACUCAAACCUGUGGUCACCAAUCUGGAAGAAGUUCAGGCUCCUGAGUCCACUGAGAUGGCGUCAACAGGGACUGUAGCUCAAGAGGAACCAGGACUCAAUUCCAUCUAGAAGGAAAGAGGCAGCCCUGAGGGAGGUGCUCCCUGCCUCCCGCUCUGGGCUUGCUCUCGGCGAGUGGUAGUUUAGAGCAAGGGUUUCAUCUUCUGUUAUUAGGCCCUGCCGGCAAACUGAGUUGAGGAGGGUGUGCCCAGCAGGGAGGAAUGAAGGGCCACAGUGAUUCAGCGAUUCAGCGUCUGGGACUCAGCUGAGCCUUUCCUGCCCCUGAGGCAGGCGGCUGAGGAAGUCCUUGAUCUUGAACCCAGCCCCUUAAGGUCUGCAGGUGGCCCCACCUUCAAAGUAAGAACUCCCCAUGAUUCCCCUGGGGCCUCUUCAGCCAGAGGAAGCCGAUGAGCCUAAGAGGCUUCCUGAAAGGCGCUCAGGGACUCCUCAACAAAGCCUCCAGCUCCGAGAGGGAGUGUGAAAUGGAGCAGGAGCUGCCAACAGGGGCAGUCGCGCAUGGCACAUUCAGCGGUGGGAUACAGUGAACUGAAGGACAAAUCAGACGUGUGUUUCAACUGAGCGAACGCUCAAAACAAGCUGCGGAGUGAAAAAAUGCAGGUUCCCAAACCAUGUGUAGCCCAGGCUGCCAUUUAUGAGAAAUCACUCACACUGGACCAGUGCUUUGGGAGGCUGAGGCAGGAGGAUUGAUUGAGGCCAGGAAUUCAAGACCAGCCUGGGCAACAAAGUGAGACCCUGUCUCUCGCUCCUGUAGUCCCAGCUACUCAGGUGGUCGAGCAGGAGGAUCACCUGGGCCCAGGAGUUUGAGGCUGCAGUGAGCUAUGAUGGCCCCACUGCACUCCAGCCUGGGCCAGUGAGUGAGACCCUGUCUCUUAAAAACAAACAAAUAAAAAAAGAGCAGUCCAGGAGCAGUGGCUCACGCCUGCAAUCCCAGCGCUUUGGGAGACCGAGGUGGGUGGAUCACCUGAGGUCAGGAGUUCAAGACCAGCCUGGCCACCAUGGUGAAACCCUGUCUCUACUAAAAAUACAAAAAUUAGCUGUGUGUGUUGGCGGGCACCUAUAAUCUCAGCUGCUCAGGAGGCUGAGGGAGGAGAAUUGCUUGAACCCGGGAGGCAGAGGUUGCCGUGAGCCGAGAUUGUACCACUGCACUCCAGCCUGGGUGACAGAGUGAAACUGUCUCAAAAUAAAUAAGUAAAUAAAUAAA
Non-coding RNA from Callithrix jacchus (white-tufted-ear marmoset), 1333 nucleotides. The record is from RefSeq and is a predicted model, not a curated record. Lineage: Eukaryota; Metazoa; Chordata; Mammalia; Primates; Cebidae.